UGGGCAUACAGUAGCUGAGACAGUAACCCAGCUUUAUUAUUACCCUGUUUACUUUCCAUCUGAUAAAAUAAUAAUUGUAUCCAGAACACCACAUAAGCCUUCCAAUAUUGCUGAAUAGCAUGUUGCAAUUAAUGAACAACCUGCUAUCUAUUUGGGGAGCAAAUUUUAGGGAAGACAGAGGCCUAGGGGAAUAGAAAACGAGAACUCGGAAAACUUUUUAAAAUAAAUAACUCCUGAAAGAACAAAGCAAACCCAUUCCUUCAUACCAAGCUUCUGAAAGCUAUUCCAGCAGCCCCUCCCCCAAAUAGGCACGAAAUUUAUGGAUCUUUUACAAGUAGGAAAAGAAAACGCAGAGACCUGGAAGACCUGUGCUUUUCCCCUUGGAAGAACAGAGGAUCAGCCCGGCUAAAGGAACAGAGAAGACCCGGUUGCCUGCAUUGGAAAGGCAGUAAGUUUUCUCUCGCCAAGGAAA
Lutra lutra (Eurasian river otter) is the source of this 472-nucleotide RNA transcript. It is a transcript of the gene named ena/VASP-like protein, with no coding region annotated. The transcript is spliced from 2 exons. Lineage: Eukaryota; Metazoa; Chordata; Mammalia; Carnivora; Mustelidae. The record is from RefSeq and is a predicted model, not a curated record.